UCUAACGACGCUGGCGGCGUGCUUAACACAUGCAAAGUCGAGCGAGGCCCUCCUUCGGGGGGGGUCCCUAGCGGCGAACGGGUGAGUAACACGUGGGCCAACCUGCCCUUCAGCUCUGGGAUAACUCCAAGAAAAUUGGUGCUAAUACCGGAUGUGACCGCUGACCCGCAUGGUCUGGUGGUGGAAAGAUUCAUCGGCUGAGGAUGGGCCCGCGGCCCUAUCAGCUUGUUGGUGGGGUAAUGGCCCACCAAGGGCGACGACGGGUAGCCGGCCUGAGAGGGUGACCGGCCACACUGGGACUGAGACACGGCCCAGACUCCUACGGGAGGCAGCAGUGGGGAAUAUUGCGCAAUGGGCGAAAGCCUGACGCAGCGACGCCGCGUGAGGGAUGACGGCCUUCGGGUUGUAAACCUCUUUCAGUAGGGACGAAGCGAAAGUGACGGUACCUACAGAAGAAGCACCGGCCAACUACGUGCCAGCAGCCGCGGUAAUACGUAGGGUGCAAGCGUUGUCCGGAAUUAUUGGGCGUAAAGAGCUCGUAGGCGGUCUGUCACGUCGGCUGUGAAAACCCGAGGCUCAACCUCGGGCCUGCAGUCGAUACGGGCAAACUAGAGUACUGCAGGGGAGACUGGAAUUCCUGGUGUAGCGGUGAAAUGCGCAGAUAUCAGGAGGAACACCGGUGGCGAAGGCGGGUCUCUGGGCAGUAACUGACGCUGAGGAGCGAAAGCGUGGGGAGCGAACAGGAUUAGAUACCCUGGUAGUCCACGCCGUAAACGUUGGGCGCUAGGUGUGGGGGCCAUUCCACGGUCUCCGUGCCGCAGCUAACGCAUUAAGCGCCCCGCCUGGGGAGUACGGCCGCAAGGCUAAAACUCAAAGGAAUUGACGGGGGCCCGCACAAGCGGCGGAGCAUGUUGCUUAAUUCGAUGCAACGCGAAGAACCUUACCUAGGCUUGACAUGCACGGAAAUCUCGUAGAGAUACGGGGUGCCUUUGGCGUCGUGCACAGGUGGUGCAUGGUUGUCGUCAGCUCGUGUCGUGAGAUGUUGGGUUAAGUCCCGCAACGAGCGCAACCCUCGUCCUAUGUUGCCAGCACGUCAUGGUGGGGACUCAUAGGAGACUGCCGGGGUCAACUCGGAGGAAGGUGGGGAUGACGUCAAAUCAUCAUGCCCCUUAUGUCUAGGGCUGCAAACAUGCUACAAUGGCCGGUACAAAGGGCUGCGAUACCGCGAGGUGGAGCGAAUCCCAAAAAGCCGGUCUCAGUUCGGAUUGGGGUCUGCAACUCGACCCCAUGAAGUUGGAGUCGCUAGUAAUCGCAGAUCAGCAACGCUGCGGUGAAUACGUUCCCGGGCCUUGUACACACCGCCCGUCACGUCACGAAAGUCGGUAACGCCCGAAGCCGGUGGCCAACCCUUGUGGAGGGAGCCGUCGAAGGCGGGAUCGGCGAUUGGGACGAAUCGAA
RNAcentral lists this ribosomal RNA (1458 nucleotides) under Modestobacter sp. Its description in RNAcentral is "bacterial SSU rRNA". It matches the Rfam family "Bacterial small subunit ribosomal RNA". Lineage: Bacteria; Bacillati; Actinomycetota; Actinomycetes; Geodermatophilales; Geodermatophilaceae. The record is from RNAcentral.